Phyllostomus discolor (pale spear-nosed bat) is the source of this 164-nucleotide long non-coding RNA. RefSeq lists it as uncharacterized. The record is from RefSeq and is a predicted model, not a curated record. Lineage: Eukaryota; Metazoa; Chordata; Mammalia; Chiroptera; Phyllostomidae. The transcript has 3 exons.
UUGGGCCAUGUUUCUUUGUCUCUUCAAUUUGGCAGCCUCCCUGUGUUUGUUUCUGUGUGUUGGGUAGAGCCGCUUUGACUCCCUGUCUUAGUUGUGUGGCCUGUUGUAGAAAAGGCACCUGCGAAUUGUAUGGGGUGGAGACCUAGAGCGGAAGAGCACACUUC